Molecule: long non-coding RNA, 534 nt
Filed under: Mytilus galloprovincialis (Mediterranean mussel)
Lineage: Eukaryota; Metazoa; Mollusca; Bivalvia; Mytilida; Mytilidae
Source: RNAcentral
CCCGCUAUAUGUUAUUCUAUAAUAAAUGUUAUUUUUAACUAGUAUUAGUUCAAAUAAAUGCAAAUUUUCCAGAUCUACAAUAUAUUUCAUAAGGCAUUUUACUAUUUUUAAAAGGGAGUUCGCUUCUCAGUUUCAAAGUAAUUAACUUUUCAAGACACAGGUUGAUAUACAUAGUAGAUUAAUAAAGGAAUCCAAAGAGCAAACAAAAUAUAUAGGUCACUGUGCUUGUUUUCAAGAUAUAAGCCAUUGAAAUAUUGGCGGGAAAAUAUUCUCUCUUGACUUUUCAUAGCUUUAUCAUUGACAAGUUGAAGUUCUAAAAAACUGUUAAAAAGUAAUUAAAAAUUUUACAAUACUUUUACAGAUGGCUAAUAAUUAUACAUGUAAAAGAUUUACAAAAAGAAAAAUGGGGGUCACUGGGCAAAUUUUUCCAAGGCAUUCAAAUGAAUAAAACCAGAGGAUUCCGAAAAUCUGACAAAAAAUCUAAAACAUGUUUCUCUUCUGAUUUAUUAACUGCACCUGCAAAGUGGAAAGGGA